This 96-nucleotide microRNA precursor is filed under the name Nicotiana attenuata. RNAcentral's name for it is "MIR6152 microRNA precursor family". It matches the Rfam family "MIR6152 microRNA precursor family". Lineage: Eukaryota; Viridiplantae; Streptophyta; Magnoliopsida; Solanales; Solanaceae. The record is from Rfam by way of RNAcentral.
UGGACAGAUUAUUGUAUUCGACUGUAUUCACGGCGUGAAACAGGUGAUUACACUGUUUUUAAACGGAAAGUGAAUCAAUUAACAUAAUAGACUCCU